RNAcentral lists this ribosomal RNA (597 nucleotides) under uncultured bacterium. RNAcentral's name for it is "bacterial SSU rRNA". It matches the Rfam family "Bacterial small subunit ribosomal RNA", at positions 73 to 646 of the family's 1533-position model. The record is from RNAcentral.
GGCCCCUUCGGGGGUACACGAGCAGCGAACGGGUGAGUAUCGCGUGGGUAACCUACCCAGAAGUGCGGGAUAGCCUCGGGAAACCGGGGGUAAUACCGCAUAAGGUUUCGACGACAUAAGUCGAUGAGAGCAAAGGCGGGGAUCCUUCGGGACCUGUCGCUUCUGGAUGGGCCCGCGUCCGAUUAGCUAGUUGGUGAGGUAAUGGCUCACCAAGGCUGCGAUCGGUAGCCGGCCUGAGAGGGUGAACGGCCACAUUGGGACUGAGACACGGCCCAGACUCCUACGGGAGGCAGCAGUGGGGAAUCUUGGGCAAUGGGGGAAACCCUGACCCAGCGACGCCGCGUGGAGGAUGACGGCCUUCGGGUUGUAAACUCCUGUCAGGUGGGAAGAAGAGCUUGUCGGUUAAUACCCGGCAGGAAUUGACGGUACCACCAAAGGAAGCCCCGGCUAACUCCGUGCCAGCAGCCGCGGUAAUACGGAGGGGGCAAGCGUUAUUCGGAUUUACUGGGCGUAAAGCGCACGUAGGUGGCAUGGUAAGUCAAAGGUGAAAGCCCUCGGCUCAACCGAGGAACUGCCUCUGAAACUGCUUUGCUUGAG